AACGCAUAUUGCGCUCGAGGCUUCGGCUGAGAGCAUGUCUGCCUCAGCGUCGGGUUAAUACACUCACCCAUCCUACAUGCAUGCAUGUGGGCCGGCCGUGGAACUGGCUAUCCCGCUCUCACCUCGGGAGCGGGUGUGCUGAAGUAUAGAGGCAAUGCAUUGACCCGCUAAGGGCUGCAACUGGGUAGGUGGCUUUCCGCUGCUGAAUUCUCAUGUUGUUGGCCUGGGAAUGUGCUUGUUGCCCUCUAACUAGGAACAAUUGUUAACCAUUAUCUCGACCUGAGCUCAGGCAAGAUUACCCGCUGAACUUAA
Molecule: unclassified non-coding RNA, 312 nt
Filed under: uncultured fungus
Lineage: Eukaryota; Fungi
Description: partial contains 5.8S rRNA and ITS2
Source: RNAcentral